Molecule: long non-coding RNA, 587 nt
Filed under: Mytilus galloprovincialis (Mediterranean mussel)
Lineage: Eukaryota; Metazoa; Mollusca; Bivalvia; Mytilida; Mytilidae
Source: RNAcentral
AACAAAAAUGUGUCCAAAGUACACGGAUGCCCCACUCGCACUAUCCUUUUCCAUGUUCCAUGGACCGUGAAAUUGGGUAAUUAUCUAAUUUGGCAUUAAAAUUAAAAAGAUCAUAUCAUAAGCAACAAGUGUACUAAGUUUCAAGUUGAUUGGACUUCAGCUUCAUCAAAAACUACCUUGACCAAAAACUUUAACCUGAAACUCCCACUUUCAUUUUCUAUGUUCAGUGGACCGUGAAAUUGGAGUCAAAAGUCUAAUUUGGUUUAAAAAUUAGAAAGAUCAUCUCAUAAGCAACAAGUGUACUAAGUUUCAAGUUGAUUGGACUUCAGCUUCAUCAAAAACUACCUCGACCAAAAACUUUAACCUGGACGGACGAACGGAACCACAGACGGACGGACGGACGGACGAACGGAGCCACAGACCAGAAAACAUAAUGCCCCUCUACUAUCGUAGGUGGGGCAUAAAAAUAAAACUGCAAUUAUACGAGAAGCGUGUACGUUUUAAUGAAAAAAUAAAAAGAUGGCUAUUUUACAAUAAUACGAAAGUGUCAUGAAUAUAAUUAUAAAUCACGUAUAUAUUUUUGGGAG